GAUGAACGCUGGCGGCGUGCCUAAUACAUGCAAGUCGAGCGAACAGACGAGGAGCUUGCUCCUCUGACGUUAGCGGCGGACGGGUGAGUAACACGUGGAUAACCUACCUAUAAGACUGGGAUAACUUCGGGAAACCGGAGCUAAUACCGGAUAACAUGUUGAACCGCAUGGUUUAACAGUGAAAGACGGUCUUGCUGUCACUUAUAGAUGGAUCCGCGCCGCAUUAGCUAGUUGGUAAGGUAACGGCUUACCAAGGCAACGAUGCGUAGCCGACCUGAGAGGGUGAGCGGCCACACUGGAACUGAGACACGGUCCAGAGUCCUACGGGAGGCAGCAGUAGGGAAUCUUCCGCAAUGGGCGAAAGCCUGACGGAGCAACGCCGCGUGAGUGAAGAAGGUCUUCGGAUCGUAAAACUCUGUUAUUAGGGAAGAACAAAUGUGUAAGUAACUAUGCACGUCUUGACGGUACCUAAUCAGAAAGCCACGGCUAACUACGUG
Molecule: ribosomal RNA, 497 nt
Filed under: uncultured bacterium
Lineage: Bacteria
Description: partial 16S ribosomal RNA
Rfam family: Bacterial small subunit ribosomal RNA
Source: RNAcentral